Molecule: ribosomal RNA, 572 nt
Filed under: Entedononecremnus sp. D041c
Lineage: Eukaryota; Metazoa; Arthropoda; Insecta; Hymenoptera; Eulophidae
Description: eukaryotic LSU rRNA
Rfam family: Eukaryotic large subunit ribosomal RNA
Source: RNAcentral
AGGACCCGUCUUGAAACACGGACCAAGGAGUCUAACAUGUGCGCGAGUCAUUGGGACUUGUAAAGCCUAAAAGCGCAAUGAAAGUAAAGGUCGACCUUAGCGUCGACCGAGGGAGGAUGGCUCGCGUCACGAUGCGAGCCCGCACUCCCGGGGCGUCUCGUGCUCAUUACGAGCAGAGGCGCACCCAGAGCGUACACGUUGGGACCCGAAAGAUGGUGAACUAUGCCUGGUCAGGACGAAGUCAGGGGAAACCCUGAUGGAGGUCCGUAGCGAUUCUGACGUGCAAAUCGAUCGUCGGAACUGGGUAUAGGGGCGAAAGACUAAUCGAACCAUCUAGUAGCUGGUUCCCUCCGAAGUUUCCCUCAGGAUAGCUGGCACUCGCUUGAGCGAGUCUCAUCUGGUAAAGCGAAUGAUUAGAGGCCUUGGGGCCGAAACGACCUCAACCUAUUCUCAAACUUUAAAUGGGUGAGAUCUCUGGCUUGCUUGAACGUUGAAGCCACGAGAUGCAAAUUUUUGCAAUGGAUCAGAGUGCCAAGUGGGCCAAUUUUGGUAAGCAGAACUGGCGCUGUGGG